CACGUAGGGUGCGAGCGUUGUCCGGAAUUAUUGGGCGUAAAGAGCUCGUAGGCGGUGUGUCGCGUCGGCCGUGAAAACCUGCAGCUUAACUGUGGGCUUGCGGUCGAUACGGGCAUCACUGGAGUUCGGCAGGGGAGACUGGAAUUCCUGGUGUAGCGGUGAAAUGCGCAGAUAUCAGGAGGAACACCGGGGGCGAAGGCGGGUCUCUGGGCCCGGAGUACUGGACGCUGAGGAGCGAAAGCGUGGGGAGCGAACAGG
This 258-nucleotide ribosomal RNA is filed under the name uncultured bacterium. Its description in RNAcentral is "partial 16S ribosomal RNA". It matches the Rfam family "Bacterial small subunit ribosomal RNA", at positions 524 to 776 of the family's 1533-position model. The record is from RNAcentral.